Molecule: non-coding RNA, 174 nt
Filed under: Schinkia azotoformans MEV2011
Lineage: Bacteria; Bacillati; Bacillota; Bacilli; Caryophanales; Bacillaceae
Source: RNAcentral
UCCACGGUGACGUGGAAUCUGAAGGAAGCGAGCGGCAAACCUCCGGUCUGAGGAACACGAACUUCAUAUAAGGCUAAGUAUCAUUGGGUGAGUCUGCUAGACAAGAUAAAGCCCCUUCUGCCGAAGGUGAUACGGAGUAGAUGAAGCAGAUAGGUGGAGGGAAAGAUUGCACUC